GGGAAAGUGGCUCAGUGGUAGAGCACUUGCCUUGCAUGCAUGAGGCCCUGGGUUCGAUUCCUCAGCCCUA
Molecule: transfer RNA, 70 nt
Filed under: Dipodomys ordii (Ord's kangaroo rat)
Lineage: Eukaryota; Metazoa; Chordata; Mammalia; Rodentia; Heteromyidae
Rfam family: tRNA
About the family: Transfer RNA (tRNA) molecules are approximately 80 nucleotides in length. Their secondary structure includes four short double-helical elements and three loops (D, anti-codon, and T loops). Further hydrogen bonds mediate the characteristic L-shaped molecular structure. tRNAs have two regions of fundamental functional importance: the anti-codon, which is responsible for specific mRNA codon recognition, and the 3' end, to which the tRNAs corresponding amino acid is attached (by aminoacyl-tRNA synthetases). tRNAs cope with the degeneracy of the genetic code in two manners: having more than one tRNA (with a specific anti-codon) for a particular amino acid; and 'wobble' base-pairing, i.e. permitting non-standard base-pairing at the 3rd anti-codon position.
Source: Rfam by way of RNAcentral